CUGCGUUGUUUUCUACCUCCUACUACUUCAUCCUCAUCCCUCCCCUCCGCGCAUCUCUUUGCUUCUCUCCCAACCCCCUCCAUCCUCCUCUGCUUCUCCUGCAGUGCCAUACCGCAUCCUCUUAUGUGCUCCACUGCAAGCACCAACAAGGCAGACGCUUCGCCUUCUCCAGAUCUGUGAAGCGAUGAACAGGGCAUCGAGGCGUUAGGUAUCACGAGAAGAAGCUCUGCCCAUGAUCCCUCGCCACCAAACUCAUUCUACCAGGGGAGACUAGCCACCAUCUGAAUGGCUUCGUCGACUCAAAGCUCCCCGAGUGUCGGUCAAGCACUUCAUGACGUGGUACCUCCUGGUCGUUUUAUAUGCGUAGCUGUGGAGCCAUCUCCGGCGCCUCUGCCAUAAAGGGUGUUGUCGAUUUUGCUUCGUGCAUGUCUGCUUCCGCUCAAGUUAUAGCACUGGGUGAAAUUUUGAGUCCCCAUCGCCAGUUGGUACCUCCCUCUCAUCAUCUGAUAUGUAUCAGGUUGUUCUGUAUUCCUCCAUGGAUCUAUUCCUAAACAUAUACUGUACUAUCUUGCUACUUUUUCGUCAGGUUAUCCUACACGAUUUGCUGAUUAUUGUUUUUCUACAGCAAAAGGGUCUCGCCCCGAUUCCGUUUCAGAAAUCAGGUACUAUAUAGUUUGGUAGCAAGAGGAACACAGCUAACAUACAGGCUCAGCGGAAAGAAAGGAAGGAAACGCCAACCAGCCACUAGGAAAGGCAUAUAACUUUUGUAUUUGCGAGAAAAAAGGCGUAUAACUAAUUACAGAGAUUUCAUACACAUUAACUCGAAAUGACAGAAUAAUCAGGCUGAGGAGAUUAAUUGCCGAUUAUUUUUCACAUGCCUUCUAUACUUAUGCACAUGAAUGAAUUCCCUAUUUUUUGCAUCCUCAAUCGUGCAUCUUUAAUUAUUUAUUGGUUGUUGUUCUGAAUUGUUGUGAAAUUGUGCUAUCUAAUUUCCUACAUAUAUGGUUAUCGUACUUGAGGGUUGGAGGUCCAAGAUUUAUAUUGACAUGCACAAUAUCAAAACAGGGAAAACAAUCUUAAGCACUGCAGAUUGUUUCUCUAGCUCUAUAGGAUAUUGUAGAUUAUUUCAAGUUUUGAUGUUUACUUUCAGUUGUCCAAGCAUAUUUUCCUAACAAUUGUAUCUUUUCUUUACCAGGAGAUUUUAUUCCUCAUUUAAGUUCCUUUCAAGAAUCAAGACUACCAUGGACAAUUUUUUUGUUUCAACUCAUGUAAACCUAAAGUGUUGGCUGCAUGUUGUCAUGAGAAUAGGAUCAUCGGCUUAAGGUAAAUACAUAUCUCAAUAAACCAUUUAAUGAUUAUAAUUUCUAAUUGUUCCUUUGUUUUGACUAAGAAAUAUAAGAGCAUAUGAGCAGAGAAACUGUAGACAAAAUACAAUCUACAGCCAUCCAUGGUCAUUAUUACAAGGGCAAAGGAGGUUGCGUAACUCUGGUGGUCAAAAACACUGUUGUCCGCGCUUCUAUAUCCUAAGUAUUAGGGCUAAUAACCGCCCUGCAAGGCUCCAAAAAGGUAUUUGUUUCUCUUACCAUGACAAUGAUGCAGCUCCCAGCACACAGGAAAGUGCCGUCAGAUAACACACAUAUUCGUCUCCCUUUCUUUUGUGUGUGCGCGUGUGUGCUCAGAUAUUCAUUUUUUCCCACUUCGUGAAUCAUUCAUGCCCGCUAUAUUCAUUCAGCCUGAUGCUCAACAAUUUUUUUUUUGCAUACACGCUUGUGGUAUUACUUACUGAUGUUUCUUUUGCCGUGCAGGGGAUGCUCUUUAGAAAAUUUGUUACCUCUAAAGCCAUAUUUUCUGAAAUGAAAUUUGAUCAUUCCUAUGCCCCCUCCAUUUUCUUGAAUUGAAGUUCCAUCAUAGUUUGCAGAAAUCAGCUUAUUAGUUGUCCUCUUAGAUCAAUCCUCAAGUUUGUUAUAAGUUGUUUGCCACCUUAUGACUAAUGACAAUGUUCUAAAUAAAACAAAUUGUACUUCCAUAUGUGUCUAGCUCUCCAUGUUUCAAUUUCUCAGAAGUAAAGACGCACUUCAAUAAUUUUAAGCUAAGCUUCUUGCUUGCUUUCCGGAAUAAUUAUUUUGUUAUAUGUGCCAACUGGCUACAUUCAAUUUAACCUUUGCUUUAUGGUAUAAUAAUAUUCAAAUAUUUCAUGAGGUCAUGGGUUUGAGUCAUGCCUCUUGCAGAAAUGUAGGGAAAGACUGCAUAGUACGACCCAAAGCAGUCGAACCCUUACCGGACCCUAUGCAAGCGGGAGCUACGUGCACCGGGCCGCUCCCUUUAUGGUAAUAAUAAUAUUCAAAUAUUUCAUUAUGUGAUGAGGUGACAUUAUUAGAGGCUAAUUCACCUUGGAUUGUUCUAUUCCUCUCCAGAAAAGAUUUGCAUAUAUACGACAUGUGCACUGUGAUUGGAUUGCAACUGAGUUGCAUUUGUCCUUAUCAUUCUAUUGUACUAGAGUGCAUGCAUUCUCACUUUUGUAUUGUCUAUUUAUACAAACAACCGUAGAUAACUUAUGCUACUCCACGGUAUUAACAUACUUACUAAUUGAAAAAGCACCUUAUGAUCUGUACAAUUGCCCUUGAUAUGUCCACUAUAUUUUCCUAA
Triticum aestivum (bread wheat) is the source of this 2646-nucleotide long non-coding RNA. RefSeq lists it as uncharacterized. The record is from RefSeq and is a predicted model, not a curated record. The transcript is spliced from 2 exons. Lineage: Eukaryota; Viridiplantae; Streptophyta; Magnoliopsida; Poales; Poaceae.